UACGAAGGGGGCUAGCGUUGCUCGGAAUUACUGGGCGUAAAGCGCACGUAGGCGGCUUGUUAAGUCGGAGGUGAAAUCCUGGAGCUCAACUCCAGAACUGCCUUCGAUACUGGCGAGCUUGAGUUCGGGAGAGGUGAGUGGAACUGCGAGUGUAGAGGUGAAAUUCGUAGAUAUUCGCAAGAACACCAGUGGCGAAGGCGGCUCACUGGCCCGAUACUGACGCUGAGGUGCGAAAGCGUGGGGAGCAAACAGG
RNAcentral lists this ribosomal RNA (253 nucleotides) under uncultured bacterium. Its description in RNAcentral is "partial 16S ribosomal RNA". It matches the Rfam family "Bacterial small subunit ribosomal RNA", at positions 524 to 776 of the family's 1533-position model. The record is from RNAcentral.